RNAcentral lists this non-coding RNA (804 nucleotides) under Gorpis annulatus. The record is from RNAcentral. Lineage: Eukaryota; Metazoa; Arthropoda; Insecta; Hemiptera; Nabidae.
UCCCACUAUUUUAGAAAAAUAGGAUUAAGGUUUAAUUCUAGCUUAUUAAUUUGCUCUUGGUUAAAGGAAUAUGUAUGUUUAUGCAUGUUUAGUUUUCCUAUUUUAGAAAAAAGGUACUUUUUCGAUGCUCAGUUUUAAGUUUUGUUUUAAUUAAUAAAUAUUAUAAAUAGUUAAAUCGAUUAGAUUUAACCAAGUUUGUGCCAGCAGUUGCGGUUAUACAAUAAAAUCAAGUGAAUAUAUAUUGGUUGUAUAUUAAUAAACUUAUAUAUUAAUAAUAUCAAUAUAAAUUAUUAGGUGAAAUUUUAAUUUUAUAAAUUUAUUGGGUUUAGGUUAUUAUAUAUGAAAUCUAUUAUAGGGACUAGGAUUAGAUACCCUAUUACUCAUAGAUGUUAAAUAAUAGCCUUAUUAUUAUUAGUUAUGUUCUUUAAAAUAAAAGAAUUUGGCGGUAAUUUAAUCUUUCCAGAGGAGCCUGCCCUGUAAUCGAUAAUCCACGUUAGUUAUGACUUUAAUUUUAGCUUGUAUACCUCUGUCAUUGGAUGUUUUAAUAGAAUGAUUUCCUAUAAACCUUUUAUGGUAAAAUGUUAGGUCAAGGUGCAGUAAUAUUUAAGUAGAGGUGGGCUACAGUAUGAUUAUAUAUUAAUGUGUUAAUGUAAUUUAACAUUGAAAUUGGAUUUGGUAGUAAUUUUUAAUAAUUAUUAAGGGUGAUUUUGGCUCUAAAUUAUGUACAUAUCGCCCGUCGCUCUCAUUUACAAAUGGGAUAAGUCGUAACAAAGUAGGUUUACUGGAAAGUGUCCCUAGUAAGAU